This 466-nucleotide ribosomal RNA is filed under the name Vreelandella stevensii. RNAcentral's name for it is "partial 16S ribosomal RNA". It matches the Rfam family "Bacterial small subunit ribosomal RNA", at positions 338 to 795 of the family's 1533-position model. The record is from RNAcentral. Lineage: Bacteria; Pseudomonadati; Pseudomonadota; Gammaproteobacteria; Oceanospirillales; Halomonadaceae.
CCUACGGGUGGCUGCAGUGGGGAAUAUUGGACAAUGGGCGAAAGCCUGACCCAGCCAUGCCGCGUGUGUGAAGAAGGCCUUCGGGUUGUAAAGCACUUUCAGUGGGGAAGAAAGCCUUGGGGCUAAUACCCUCGAGGAAGGACAUCACCCACAGAAGAAGCACCGGCUAACUCCGUGGCCAGCAGCCGCGGUAAUACGGAGGGUGCGAGCGUUAAUCGGAAUUACUGGGCGUAAAGCGCGCGUAGGCGGUCUGAUAAGCCGGUUGUGAAAGCCCCGGGCUCAACCUGGGAACGGCAUCCGGAACUGGCAGGCUAGAGUGCAGGAGAGGAAGGUAGAAUUCCCGGUGUAGCGGUGAAAUGCGUAGAGAUCGGGAGGAAUACCAGUGGCGAAGGCGGCCUUCUGGACUGACACUGACGCUGAGGUGCGAAAGCGUGGGUAGCAAACAGGAUUAGAUACCCCAGUAGUC